CGUUGCUAGGCAAACACCAAACUUAGACAGCGGACGAAGCUUGGCUCCAAGUGGAGGAGAGCGACCCUUCUCACUCCCAGCAGUGAAAAACGCAAACCAGGCGGUGCCUCUGUCACAAGAGAACCACCACAGCUUGUGCAAGUCAGAUGAUGUGCAUCCGGGGAACUGACUUCAUCAAAUUAUCCUGGAGGGGAAAAGGCAAGUACAAAAAUGUGAACUACAGGCAGCUGGAAAGCAAAAUUCUACACAAUGAAUGACACACCAAAUCCUGCAGGGAACUAUGUACCACAAUGCAUUAUUUCCUGUGGCUUCCUGCCUGGGGGACCCUAAAGAACAGUAAAAAUUCAACCAGAAAUGAUUUCCUCAGCUGUCUCACUGAUGGAUUUAGCAAAGCUACAAAGAUUUGGUCAAAAUGUUAAGUCAUUGUGAAAUCCAAAUAUGUAUACUUAUAAAUGUUUACAUAUUGAUUCACAAGUUCCUAAAAAUAAAAGUUACAAGCAAUU
Molecule: non-coding RNA, 503 nt
Organism: Oryctolagus cuniculus (rabbit)
Lineage: Eukaryota; Metazoa; Chordata; Mammalia; Lagomorpha; Leporidae
Source: RefSeq, a predicted model, not a curated record